GAUUGGGAGGAACACCAGUGGCGAAGGCGAUUUGCUGGACUGCAACUGACGUUGAGAUGCGAAAGCUAGGGGAGCAAACGGGAUUAGAUACCCCGGUAGUCCUAGCCGUAAACGAUGGAUACUAGGUGUAGAGGGUAUCGACCCCUUCUGUGCCGCAGCGAACGCAAUAAGUAUCCCGCCUGGGGAGUACGGUCGCAAGACUGAAACUCAAAGGAAUUGACGGGGGCCCGCACAAGCAGUGGAGCAUGUGGUUUAAUUCGACGCAACCCGAAGAACCUUACCAGGUCUUGACAUUUAUGGAACUUGGGCAGAGAUGCCUCGGUGCCCCUUCGGGGGAGCCAUAAAACAGGUGGUGCAUGGUUGUCGUCAGCUCGUGUCGUGAGAUGUUGGGUUAAGUCCCGCAACGAGCGCAACCCUUGAUAAUAGUUGCCAGCAAGUAAGGUUGGGCACUCUUAUUGUGACUGCCGUAGAUAAUACGGAGGAAGGUGGGGAUGACGUCAAAUCAUCAUGCCCUAUAUGACCUGGGCUACACACGUGCUACAAUGGGGUGGAACAACGGGAAGCAAGCCAGCGAUGGUAAGCGGACCCCUAAAAACACCUCUCAGUUCAGAUUGCAGGCUGCAACCCGCCUGCAUGAAGUCGGAAUUGCUAGUAAUCGCGGAUCAGCAUGCCGCGGUGAAUACGUUCCCGGGCCUUGUACACACCGCCCGUCACACCACGAAAGUUGGCAACACCCGAAG
RNAcentral lists this ribosomal RNA (740 nucleotides) under uncultured bacterium. RNAcentral describes it as "bacterial SSU rRNA". It matches the Rfam family "Bacterial small subunit ribosomal RNA", at positions 695 to 1426 of the family's 1533-position model. The record is from RNAcentral.